CCAGCCCCGCCCGCGGCCGGCGGAGCCGCCGGAGCAGCGCGGGCCGCGGGCAGCGGCACGAGCGGCGGCCCCGCGAGCGGGGAGCGGCAUGUCCUGAGCCGGCGGCGGCGGCGGCGCGGAGCCGGGGCCCACCACGGAGGGGUCGGUGGAGCAGCGGGCCAAGGGCCGGGCCCCCAUGAAGGAGAAGGAGGCAGGGGCGGAGCGGGGCAAGCCCGCCACUUACACCGGGGACAAGAAGGCGCGCAUGGCGGCCAAGACCAACAAGAAGUGGGUGCGCCUGGCCACCGUGCUGGCCUACGUCCUCUCCGUCUCGCUGGCCGCCAUCGUCCUCGCCGUCUACUACAGCCUCAUCUGGCAGCCGGUGCGCGGCGGCUCCUCCGGCCCCGGCCCCGCCGCCGGCACCUCGCAGCCCCGCACCGCGCCGCCGUCGGGCCCCGCGGCCGGCCAGCCGCCCGCCGCGCCCACGCAGGAGGCCCCGCCGCCGCCGCCGCGGACGGGCCCGGGCCCCGGCUCCGACGCCGGCGUCGCCCAGACGGGCCGCCCGGCCGCCUCCCCGCUGCCGCCCGGGCCCGAGGCGGGGGCCGCCGCGCUGCGCCGGGUGCGUGGCAGCCCCUGAAGCGGCCGGCGGCGUCCCCCGCCCAUCUCCGCCCCACGGGGGCCCGGCGGGCGGUGGCUGCGAGACCCCCGGCGCGGCCGAGCGGCGGAGGGCUGGGGCUACACACCGCCGGGCCGCGGGGCCGGGCCGCGGGGCUUGGACUGGGAAGAACUGCGGCAUCUUUCUCCCCCCAUUUUUCCUCAAAAGGGAAUUUUGUGGCUUCGCUCCUUCCCUCGCCAGGGCUAGCUUCUCCUCGCGAACCCGCCGUAAUCCUGCGCUAUUUAUGCCCGUCUGUUACCUAGAAAAGGAUCUCGGUGUCCAAAAUUCCUCACUAUUUACAGGAUCAGCUGGGAACUGUACGAAUUUCGGGGCUGUAAUCCAUUGUUUAAAAACCGGUUUUGUUUAACAACGAGCAUAAACUUAUUUAAAAACAUGUGAAAGGUGAGGCUGGAGAAACCUCCAUACGCGCCUGACUCCCACUAACCGUGGGCAUCAGCUAAAGCAGUGGUGAUGAAAGCUUGAUCUUUCGUGGCAGAAGCAGGCGGAGGUCUCGCGGCGGCAUGCGGCACAGUGUGCUGCGAGGUGCUUCGUGGCUUGUGUGCCCCUGCUCUUGCCUGCAUGGGAUGGCAGAGCUUACAGAGCGUCAUGGCACCUCAGUGGCACCCUGGAGCCAGUGCCAUCAGGAG
This is an RNA transcript of Falco peregrinus (peregrine falcon), 1281 nucleotides long. It is a transcript of the gene named InaF motif containing 2, with no coding region annotated. The transcript is spliced from 2 exons. NCBI's taxonomy places the organism in Eukaryota, Metazoa, Chordata, Aves, Falconiformes, Falconidae. The record is from RefSeq and is a predicted model, not a curated record.